UUUGCCUACGGGAGGCAGCAGUGAGGAAUAUUGGUCAAUGGGCGGGAGCCUGAACCAGCCAAGUCGCGUGAGGGAAGACGGUCCUACGGAUUGUAAACCUCUUUUGCCGGGGAGCAACGGGGUCCUUGCGAGGGCCCGAUGAGAGUACCCGGAGAAAAAGCAUCGGCUAACUCCGUGCCAGCAGCCGCGGUAAUACGUAGGUGGCAAGCGUUAUCCGGAUUUAUUGGGCGUAAAGGGAACGCAGGCGGUCUUUUAAGUCUGA
This 262-nucleotide ribosomal RNA is filed under the name uncultured bacterium. RNAcentral describes it as "partial 16S ribosomal RNA". It matches the Rfam family "Bacterial small subunit ribosomal RNA", at positions 334 to 592 of the family's 1533-position model. The record is from RNAcentral.